GCUGGGCAUGGUGACCCAUGCUUGUAAUCCCAGCAGCUUGGGAGGCUGAGGCAGGAGGAUUGUGAGUUUAAAGCCAGCCUAGCAAGGCACUUAGUGAAACUGAAGUGGCACCUCCUUUCUCCU
Molecule: small RNA, 123 nt
Filed under: Marmota monax (woodchuck)
Lineage: Eukaryota; Metazoa; Chordata; Mammalia; Rodentia; Sciuridae
Source: RNAcentral